ACACAUGCAAGUCGAGGGGAAACGACAUCGAAAGCUUGCUUUUGAUGGGUGUCGACCGGCGCACGGGUGAGUAACGCGUAUCCAACCUGCCCACCACAUGGGGAUAACCUUGCGAAAGUAAGACUAAUACCCAAUGAUAUCUCUAGAAGACAUCUGAAAGAGAUUAAAGAUUUAUCGGUGAUGGAUGGGGAUGCGUCUGAUUAGCUUGUUGGCGGGGUAACGGCCCACCAAGGCGACGAUCAGUAGGGGUUCUGAGAGGAAGGUCCCCCACAUUGGAACUGAGACACGGUCCAAACUCCUACGGGAGGCAGCAGUGAGGAGUAUUGGUCAAUGGACGAGAGUCUGAACCAGCCAAGUAGCGUGCAGGAUGACGGCCCUAUGGGUUGUAAACUGCUUUUAUAAGGGAAUAAAGUGAGUCUCGUGAGACUUUUUGCAUGUACCUUAUGAAUAAGGACCGGCUAAUUCCGUGCCAGCAGCCGCGGUAAUACGGAAGGUCCGGGCGUUAUCCGGAUUUAUUGGGUUUAAAGGGAGCGUAGGCCGGAGAUUAAGCGUGUUGUGAAAUGUAGACGCUCAACGUCUGCACUGCAGCGCGAACUGGUUUCCUUGAGUACGCACAAAGUGGGCGGAAUUCGUGGUGUAGCGGUGAAAUGCUUAGAUAUCACGAAGAACUCCGAUUGCGAAGGCAGCUCACCGGAGCGCAACUGACGCUGAAGCUCGAAAGUGCGGGUAUCGAACAGGAUUAGAUACCCUGGUAGUCCGCACGGUAAACGAUGGAUGCCCGCUGUUGGUCUGAAUAGGUCAGCGGCCAAGCGAAAGCAUUAAGCAUCCCACCUGGGGAGUACGCCGGCA
Molecule: ribosomal RNA, 849 nt
Filed under: uncultured bacterium
Lineage: Bacteria
Description: bacterial SSU rRNA
Rfam family: Bacterial small subunit ribosomal RNA
Source: RNAcentral